AGCAGUAGCCGCGGGAAUACGAAGGGGGCUAGCGUUGUUCGGAAUUACUGGGCGCAAAGCGCACGUAGGCGGACUUUUAAGUCAGGGGUGAAAUCCCGGGGCUCAACCUCGGAACUGCCUUUGAUACUGGAAGUCUUGAGUGUGGAAGAGGUAAGUGGAAUUGCGAGUGUAGAGGUGAAAUUCGUAGAUAUUCGCAGGAACACCAGUGGCGAAGGCGGCUUACUGGUCCACAACUGACGCUGAGGUGCGAAAGCGUGGGGAGCAAACAGGAUUAGAUACCCCAGUAGUCCCUGUCUCUUAUAC
This 303-nucleotide ribosomal RNA is filed under the name uncultured bacterium. Its description in RNAcentral is "partial 16S ribosomal RNA". It matches the Rfam family "Bacterial small subunit ribosomal RNA", at positions 507 to 807 of the family's 1533-position model. The record is from RNAcentral.